UCGUACAAAAUGUGAGGGGCAUGCAAAAGGGCUGUCGCCGACUCAAAUUUGUGCACGCCCGGGUGUGUCCCCUCACAUAGUAAUCCAUCUCACCCUUUGUGCAUCACCGCGUGGGCACCCUUUGGGAUCAUCUCAGAGGGGGCUCACGUUUUCACACAAACCCCCCCUUUUAAAAAAGUGUAGAAUGUCCUCAUUUAUGCGCUAACCCGCAAUCAAUAC
This 219-nucleotide unclassified non-coding RNA is filed under the name Lactarius sikkimensis. RNAcentral's name for it is "internal transribed spacer 1". Lineage: Eukaryota; Fungi; Basidiomycota; Agaricomycetes; Russulales; Russulaceae. The record is from RNAcentral.